GCGUUCGUAGCUCAGUUGGUUAGAGCACCACCUUGACAUGGUGGGGGUCGWUGGUUCGAGUCCAUUCAGACGCACCA
This 77-nucleotide transfer RNA is filed under the name Klebsiella pneumoniae. RNAcentral describes it as "tRNA-Val". It matches the Rfam family "tRNA". From Rfam's summary of the family: Transfer RNA (tRNA) molecules are approximately 80 nucleotides in length. The record is from RNAcentral. Lineage: Bacteria; Pseudomonadati; Pseudomonadota; Gammaproteobacteria; Enterobacterales; Enterobacteriaceae.